RNAcentral lists this ribosomal RNA (301 nucleotides) under uncultured bacterium. RNAcentral's name for it is "partial 16S ribosomal RNA". It matches the Rfam family "Bacterial small subunit ribosomal RNA", at positions 509 to 807 of the family's 1533-position model. The record is from RNAcentral.
CAGUCGCCGCGGGAAAACGUAGGGUGCAAGCGUUAAUCGGAAUUACUGGGCGUAAAGCGUGCGCAGGCGGUUCGCUAAGACAGAUGUGAAAUCCCCGGGCUCAACCUGGGAAUGGCAGUGGAUACUGGCUCGCUAGAGUGUGUCAGAGGAUGGUGGAAUUCCCGGUGUAGCGGUGAAAUGCGUAGAGAUCGGGAGGAACAUCAGUGGCGAAGGCGGCCAUCUGGGACAACACUGACGCUGAGGCACGAAAGCGUGGGGAGCAAACAGGAUUAGAUACCCCAGUAGUCCCUGUCUCUUAUAC